Long non-coding RNA from Dendronephthya gigantea, 202 nucleotides. RefSeq lists it as uncharacterized. The record is from RefSeq and is a predicted model, not a curated record. Lineage: Eukaryota; Metazoa; Cnidaria; Anthozoa; Malacalcyonacea; Nephtheidae. The transcript has 3 exons.
CGACUGGCUGUGACCUCUAACAACGAUGUGUUCAAUAGAGCCGAUGGGAGGAUCAUUGUGCUAAAAUACCGAAAAACGCCAUUUUCGGUAGAAGACAGGCAAAAGCUUAAAGCCGGCAUUGGAUAAUAGCUGAAAUUCACACGGGGUUUCUACUAGCAUGGGUGAUCAGAAUGUUUCCUUUUUGGCAACAGCAAUUCCCGAC